UGAUCAUCGACUGCGGUGUAGUCCGACCCACGUAAGGUAUUGAGAUUCGAUAUUAAUAUUUUAUUUUUAUUUUUAGAUUAUAUGCAUGUCUUUGAUCUGGAUGCGGAUAGUUUUACAUUUGAUCUAUUGCAUGUGAGGUUAAAGGGUUUAAUCCAGAUCGCUUUCGCUAUUUCAAAAUCAAUUUUGAAAUCUAUGCAUGCAAUCCUACCC
This 210-nucleotide long non-coding RNA is filed under the name Elaeis guineensis (African oil palm). Its description in RNAcentral is "long non-coding RNA (EGUI_LNC004720)". Lineage: Eukaryota; Viridiplantae; Streptophyta; Magnoliopsida; Arecales; Arecaceae. The record is from RNAcentral.